UACGUAGGGGGCAAGCGUUGUCCGGAAUUAUUGGGCGUAAAGAGCGUGUAGGCGGUCCGGUAAGUCCGCUGUGAAAGUCCAGGGCUCAACCCUGGAAUGCCGGUGGAUACUGCCGGGCUAGAGUCCGGAAGAGGCGAGUGGAAUUCCUGGUGUAGCGGUGAAAUGCGCAGAUAUCAGGAAGAACACCAACGGCGAAGGCAGCUCGCUGGGACGGUACUGACGCUGAGACGCGAAAGCGUGGGGAGCGAACAGG
This 253-nucleotide ribosomal RNA is filed under the name uncultured bacterium. RNAcentral's name for it is "partial 16S ribosomal RNA". It matches the Rfam family "Bacterial small subunit ribosomal RNA", at positions 524 to 776 of the family's 1533-position model. The record is from RNAcentral.